UCUAGGAUUCACCCGUAGUGGAAUCCUAUUAGUGUUAUUAAUUUGUUCAUAUUCUCAUUCAUUCCCAAUUUGUUCAUACGCGAGCCUCUGCAACUCUAGAAAAAAGAAAACUCUCCAAACCCUAGUUCUUCACAAUCGUCCCAAGUUCACAAUCAAAACACUAAAUCAAAACACUCCUGCGCCAAAUCCCAAUCAUUCUCCAAUCUCUCCAUUCUCCAAUCUCCAAUUUCAUUCGAUUUCAUUCGUUCCCAAUUUCUUCAUCGUCCCAAUUUCUUCCCUUGCGAGAACACACAGCGCCAUCGUCCCUAAUUUCUUCCCAAUUUUCAUUCCCAAAUCGCCAAAUCCCUAAAAAUCCCAAUUUCUUCAAUCAUUCUCCAAACCCUAGACGGCGACCCCUUUAUCAUUCUCCAAAUUUGCUUCAAUCUGCGGUGACAAGCUUCAAUCUGCGGUUACCAGUGGAGUUGGGUUGCUUCUGCUCGAUUUGUUUGGAUAGAAAGAGUUGGGUUGGUGUUUAUCAGUUCCUCAAGACAGCCAGAAGCGACACCGGCAGAGUAUGCAAGAGCUAACAAAGAGCUUAGAAAGCUAAGUGGUUAUGUGCAACUUAUUAAUGAGUUGAAGGCCAAACAGAAGGUAAUUUUAUGGUUAUGUGGUUCUUUGUCUUGAAGUUAUGAUAUUCAACUAAUGAUUUGGCAGCAUAGACGAUCUUAUUUUGGAAAAAAGACUACUUUUUUAUGUUGAAGAAUCACUAAGUUAUGUUAUUAAGUUUAGUUAAAAUUGGAAGUAUUGUGUGGCUUAAUAGUGGACCGGAGUUUAACUAGAUUUAUCCUUCUUAAAAGGGGAGAGAGUGUUAUUUUGUUGUCUAAAGAUAUGUUUUUGACUUCAUUCUUGAGUGUUUUUUAUCUUGUAGCCAAUUUUUUAUGAUGAUUAUAUUGUUUUAUCUGGUGCUAUUUGUUUGAUUGAUGAGCUUUUUCUUGAGUGUCAUAAAUUUUGACAUGUAUUGAUCACCAUACCCUGCAUUUUUCUAACAUAAAGUGUAACCAAAUUAAAACUGCCUGUCACAAUGGUCAUUGACAUGUGAGUCUGCAUUAAGAAAGCUCGGGAUCUGCCUUAAGCGCUAACUGUUUGUCACAAUGGAAACUUUUGCUUAGGAAAUGCAAGAAAUUUUGUUCAUAAUAUAAGAAAUCUAGGAAAAUUAUCAGAUUUUCAGAACUGUUUGCAGCCUUAGUUUGAGAAUGGAAAUGCCAUAACUUCACAAACAUUAUUGUCAAUUCAAAACUCCCGGAUGAUAAUUGUUGGUUGGGUGAAUUCAAUUGUUUAACUAUCAAUUCAUAUUUCUUAACUUUAGCAUUAUUAUAUCAUGAUAAUGAAUUUAUACUAUGUAGUUUAGUUUUAGGGUUUAACUUCAAAUUUGAGAUCUUUGAUGCUGUUCAGUAUCUAUUCUAGCUGCGGAUCUUGAAAAAAACAGUUACACACAACUAAUUUGAGUUAUUUUCCCUAAUUUAGUUUUUUAUACAUCUAAAUGAUGGAAAUUGUGAUUACUAAUCUGAAUCUAGGAAAAAUUAUAUAAUGCUUUGAAAUAGCAACUUAUGAGAGAUAUGUAAUUGAGCUGUGCACUGCUUUAACUAGAUGUUUCUUUCGAGAAAUGUUUGGAUUAGAUUGUGAUGAGAAUGACUCAUUCGUGGUUAAGUGGGAAGACGCUCAAGUUGAGCUGAAAGCCCAAUGAGAGUGCAUUCCCUUUUGGGUUUGGCCCAUUUGUAUGUUUGGUUUUGACUAGGAGGGUUGGUGGUUAAACUUCUAAUCUGGACCAUAAUAAUUAAGCACUGUAACCCUAAGCAUUGGCUGCUGGAGAUGUUGGCGCAGUUGGCUAAACUCCGUGAUCAAUUGUUGUAUUCUUGUAAUUGAGAUAUUUCAAAUGCAAUGAAGGCUAGGUGUAUCUCAUUCUUUCCUUGAUCUUCCGAUGGCACUAACAACAAACAAAGUUUCACGCGGUCCUAUCUUGACUAACAGAACAACACUUUGUAGAUUAAAUGGAGACCACUAUUUUUCCUCAUCCGCAAGGAUCAAUAGAAUACAGUUUUCAAGAGUUAGACUUGAACAGGGCAAUCUGAACAAUGGAGUUUUCCUCAAUGAGAGAUCAACCUUAUUCAAUGACUGGUUUCGGUCCGUAAAUGGAAAACCAGUUAGUUUAAUCUCCAAGACAUCUUCUGUCUCAUGUAAAUCAACAGGAGCAAAUAAUACUGAAGAGAAAGAAUGUGUUACAACUUAUGAUGAUGUUUCUGAUUUAACUAGAAGACAUGCCGAAAAUGAGAAAAAUGAUCGUGCUCGUUCUGUUCGUGGCUUGGCUGAAGCUUAUAGAUUUGCCUGUAAUGAUGCGAAGUUUCUCUCGCGGUAUUUCCAUUAACCCGACUACGUUGGUCAACAUAUUUUUUGGAGUUAUUGGAGGGUUAAGAUUUAUCUGAUAAUCACAAUGCUUUGACAAUUGUUAGCAUAUGGUUCCCAGUGGUUUUCGUAUGUGCAUCACUGUUUUGGACUGUUUAUUUUGGACUAUUUUAGGAUGGUUUUAUGAAGAUCGAAGUGUUCGUUGAUUUUGCAAUGUUGUUCGAGGUGUUUGAGAUGAAGAUCCUAAAGGGAAAGAAAUGGAGAGAGCAUUGAUGAGGCUACUUGGAAAUUCAACAUCACUAGCUUCAUGUCGUUUUCAUUAGUGAUAAAUUAGUUGGUUCUAUGGAUAGAGUUUUGACUUUUCAUAUUAAUGGGCUGUAUAUGCUUGGAAUUAGACUAGAUAAUUAGUGAUAAUGUUAAGCAUUGACUUUUAAUGUGUUGAAUGUAACUUGUUAGGAAUUGACAAUGACUUGUGGAAAAUAAUAUUCGGAAUUAUGUCAA
RNA transcript from Trifolium pratense (red clover), 2880 nucleotides. RefSeq lists it as uncharacterized. The record is from RefSeq and is a predicted model, not a curated record. The transcript has 6 exons. Lineage: Eukaryota; Viridiplantae; Streptophyta; Magnoliopsida; Fabales; Fabaceae.